RNAcentral lists this ribosomal RNA (325 nucleotides) under uncultured eukaryote. RNAcentral describes it as "partial 18S ribosomal RNA". It matches the Rfam family "Eukaryotic small subunit ribosomal RNA", at positions 1470 to 1796 of the family's 1831-position model. The record is from RNAcentral.
CCCUUAGAUGUUCUGGGCCGCACGCGCGCUACACUGAUGCAUUCAACGAGCCUAUCCUUGACCGACAGGUCCGGGUAAUCUUUGAAUCUGCAUCGUGACGGGGAUAGAUUAUUGCAAUUAUUAAUCCUCAACGAGGAAUGCCUAGUAGGCGCAAGUCAUCAGCUUGCGUCGAUUACGUCCCUGCCCUUUGUACACACCGCCCGUCGCUCCUACCGAUUGGGUGUGCUGGUGAAAUGUUCGGAUCGGCCGUUUGUCGCGGUUUCCGCGUCAUGUGGCUGAGAAGUUCAUUAAACCCUCCCACCUAGAGGAAGGAGAAGUCGUAACA